This 501-nucleotide ribosomal RNA is filed under the name uncultured bacterium. Its description in RNAcentral is "partial 16S ribosomal RNA". It matches the Rfam family "Bacterial small subunit ribosomal RNA", at positions 30 to 523 of the family's 1533-position model. The record is from RNAcentral.
AUUGAACGCUGGCGGCAGGCUUAACACAUGCAAGUCGAGCGGAGAGAGGUAGCUUGCUACUGAUCUUAGCGGCGGACGGGUGAGUAAUGCUUAGGAAUCUGCCUAUUAGUGGGGGACAACAUUUCGAAAGGAAUGCUAAUACCGCGUACGUCCUACGGGAGAAAGCAGGGGAUCUUCGGACCUUGCGCUAAUAGAUGAGCCUAAGUCGGAUUAGCUAGUUGGUGGGGUAAAGGCCUACCAAGGCGACGAUCUGUAGCGGGUCUGAGAGGAUGAUCCGCCACACUGGGACUGAGACACGGCCCAGGCUCCUACGGGAGGCAGCAGUGGGGAAUAUUGGACAAUGGGCGCAAGCCUGAUCCAGCCAUGCCGCGUGUGUGAAGAAGGCCUUAUGGUUGUAAAGCACUUUAAGCGAGGAGGAGGCUACUUUAGAUAAUACCUAGAGAUAGUGGACGUUACUCGCAGAAUAAGCACCGGCUAACUCUGUGCCAGCCGCCGCAGUAA